Molecule: ribosomal RNA, 510 nt
Filed under: uncultured bacterium
Lineage: Bacteria
Description: partial 16S ribosomal RNA
Rfam family: Bacterial small subunit ribosomal RNA
Source: RNAcentral
GACGAACGCUGGCGGCGUGCUUAACACAUGCAAGUCGAACGAAGAGCGACGGAAGCUUGCUUCUAUCAAUCUUAGUGGCGCACGGGUGAGUAACGCGUAAUCAACCUGCCCUUCAGAGGGGGACAACAGUUGGAAACGACUGCUAAUACCGCAUACGAUCUAACCUCGGCAUCGAGGAUAGAUGAAAGGUGGCCUCUACAUGUAAGCUAUCACUGGAGGAGGGGAUUGCGUCUGAUUAGGUAGUUGGAGGGGUAACGGCCCACCAAGGCGAUGGUCAGUAGCCGGUCUGGAAGGAUGAACGGCCACAUUGGGACUGAGACACGGCCCAGACUCCUACGGGAGGCAGCAGUGGGGAAUCUUCCGCAAUGGACGAAAGUCUGACGGAGCAACGCCGCGUGAGUGAUGACGGCCUUCGGGUUGUAAAGCUCUGUUAAUCGGGACGAAAGGCCUUCUUGCGAAUAGUGAGAAGGAUUGACGGUACCGGAAGAGAAAGCCACGGCUAACUACGUG